This is a long non-coding RNA of Scylla paramamosain (green mud crab), 983 nucleotides long. RefSeq lists it as uncharacterized. The transcript has 2 exons. Lineage: Eukaryota; Metazoa; Arthropoda; Malacostraca; Decapoda; Portunidae. The record is from RefSeq and is a predicted model, not a curated record.
AAGACUGGCCCGGCACUGCAGCAAAGACUGCCUCCACCUGGUGUACAAGUGGGCUAGAGCUCCCUCCAUCUGCUGGAGUGCCUGUUUGCGCUGGGCCUCUGUCUCAGCAUGGAUCAAGUCACCAAGCCCCUCCACACUGGUUGAGCUGGAACAUAUCCUGGCAGAGUGCCAAGGGCGGCCAGCACAGCAGCAAUCACAGCAGGCCCUCCAUGGAUGUGCAACUCACAGCUGUCCUCCCCUGUAAAGCUGUGGGGUCCUGGGAACCACAAAACCAGCCCACGGUCCAAAGCCUCUCCUGUGAAAUUACAUCAUACUAUAAUCAUUGGUGUAUUUCAGAAAAUAUGUUUAAGCAUAAUUUUUAGGGAAUAAUUGUACAGGAUUGUACUCAAUUCUUCUUCCCAACCUUACCUUGUUUUGUAUCAAUGCAUUUGCUCAUUCCCAUCCCAUCCCCCCAACUAUUUCCUAUUCCUCUCCCUCAAUCCUUCAGUACCUAUGCACAACCCUUCCCUUUCUACUGAAUUCUUUGUUUCCAAAGAACAGAUACACAAGAAAAGCCCCUUCUUCUCCAAUUCUUCUCUCAUUCCCAGCUUAGUGAUCCACCUCUCCACUUAAUUUUUCACCAUAUUAUCCAUUGUAGUUCAAUAUACAUAAUAAGGUAUGAAAUCUUUCCAAAUAUACAAGCUAUGGCCUGUCAGAGAUUGUCUGAAGCUCAUCAUAGUUUUUAAACUUCUGUUCCUUUCUGAAGAACUCCCACAUUAUAGCCAUGAUAGAUGUACUGUUGAGAAAAUUCUAACCUGGUAUAAGCCUAAAUGAUGAAAACACAUAACUAUGUGUCUAUUUUUUUACCUGAAGAUUAACACUUUUCUGUGCUGUUAAAAUAGUUCACUAGUUUUCCUUUUUCUUUUGUUUCAUGCAUUUCUUAUACCAGGUUAAAGUUUUCCUAAUAGAAGUACAUGAUCAAACAAAAUAAAUAAAUCACUGUU